Leopardus geoffroyi (Geoffroy's cat) is the source of this 1026-nucleotide long non-coding RNA. RefSeq lists it as uncharacterized. The transcript has 2 exons. The record is from RefSeq and is a predicted model, not a curated record. Lineage: Eukaryota; Metazoa; Chordata; Mammalia; Carnivora; Felidae.
GGGGGUCUCUGGGCCUGAGACUUAGGGGGACAGUGGCUGCCAGACGCCGGGUAUAUGAGGCAGGGUGAUAUUCUGGGCCUGAUCGUGUGACCCCAGGUAUUCGGUGGACAAGGGUGUGGGUGACUACAUGUGUAAAGGAUUCUGGGGUGUGUGUGUGUGUGUGUGUAACUAGGUAACACUGUGUCAGUGUGAGUGCAAGUGUGUCAUUGGGCUUUGUGUUCCCAUCAGACAAUGCUGUUGGGUUCUCGAGUAUGCUCUGUGCCUUUCUGGUCUCAUUUCCCCAACACAGGGGUGGACCCAGAGGUGGCUUCCAGGAGACUUACAGACCAUCAGAGCUGGAAGGAGGCCAAGACAAAACAGUCCAAACCCCUCACUUCACGUAUUUGGAAACUGAGGCUCAGCUGUGUGUAGAAAGGGGUUUGUGAACAAUAAAAACACAGUCAAAUUCAUGCAGAGAUAGAUCUCAGAGUAGGAGAGACCUGUAAGUAAUCCAUGAUUGCUUCUCACCCCCUCUGGGAAUCCCCUCAAUAAUGUGCCUGGUAGGGUCAUUCCUUCUCUCCUACUCACUGGACAGAGUAGGGAUUUAAAUUUCAUCCACUCUGAGUUGCCUCAGCAUCCCAGUCUGUUAACAGUUUCUGUUUCAUCCCUGCUGAGAAUUCACAGGCACGUAGGAGGGUGUGAAUAUGGAUAAAAAAGCAACAUCACCAGCAAGUUUUGGAGACUCAGUCCAUCAUCUGCAAAAUCCCCUACAUUCUUAGACUUCUCGGCUCCUUCCCUUUCUCUUCUCUCAGGAAACGAGACACCACUCAAGAUAUUUCCAGUUUGCCUCCCAGCAAGGUUGUCAUCAGGCUUCAAGGCCACCAGGGCAUGCGAAUGCCUGUUUACUCACGUCCUUGCCGAAAUUGGGUCUUAUCAGACUUUCAAUUUUUUCUAAUCUGUGAAAAUGAUAUCUUGUUCUGAUUUAUACUUUUAAAAUUCUGAGUGAGAUGGAAUAUUAAAAAAUAUUUUUGACAGAUAUGCAUAAUC